AACGAACGUUGGCGGCGCGCUUAACACAUGCAAGUCGCACGCGAAAGGGAGCAAUCCCCGGUAGCGUGGCGCACGGGUGAGUAACACGUGGAUAAUCUACCCUUGAGCGGGGGAUAACCUUCCGAAAGGAGGGCUAAUACCGCAUAAGACCACGGCCAGUACGCUGGCUGAGGUCAAAGCAGGCCUCUACAUGUAAGCUUGCACUCGAGGAUGAGUCCGCGGCCCAUCAGCUAGUUGGUAGUGUAACGGACUACCAAGGCGUAGACGGGUAGCUGGUCUGAGAGGAUGAUCAGCCACACUGGAACUGAGACACGGUCCAGACUCCUACGGGAGGCAGCAGUGGGGAAUCUUGCGCAAUGAGCGAAAGCCUGACGCAGCGACGCCGCGUGGGUGAUGAAGGCCUUCGGGUUG
This 411-nucleotide ribosomal RNA is filed under the name uncultured bacterium. Its description in RNAcentral is "bacterial SSU rRNA". It matches the Rfam family "Bacterial small subunit ribosomal RNA", at positions 29 to 425 of the family's 1533-position model. The record is from RNAcentral.